CCCAAGGUUUAAUAUUCACUCUGCCACCUUCCCUCGCUUUAAGUGGCGUUUGCCCUCAGUCUAAGGACUUUGUUGGCUUGUUUUGUGUCCCUAGCAGAGCUUUCUCAUGAGCCCAAUAAGCGUGGCCCUAUGAGGGCUCCAACUAGCCCAAACCAAAGGGAAGCAAAUAGGUAUUUUUCUCAGGCAACAUAACAAGGUCAUGGAGCCAGGUAAAUACACUGCAAUUUUCCAGGCGAGUUCAAGAAGGCAGCGGGUAGAUGGAACAUAUUGUGAUAGAUGGCCCAGCCCUGGCGGAUUUAAAGGCAAGAUGGUGCAUUGUGAAGAAUAAAAACACGGACACCGGCUCCUAAACGUGCCACUUCUUUUCCCUGCGUCCCCGUGGCUGCCGGCUGCCCCAAGCACGUCAGCAGCGAGCCCCUUUGCCUUGGGAUGGGACCGGCGGCGGUGGGAACAGGAGCUCGCCCCGCUCAGCUCCCUUCGGGGGCUUCUAGGGGUGACUGAAAAGGCUCCCCCUGGGUUUCGCUCCGCUGGACGGGCUCCAGCCACACACACACCUUGCAGGGGCUUCCUUCCCACACAAAGCGGCGGCCCACACUCCGGGAAACAGAGGAUAAAAGGGCUUUCACUUUUCUCGAGGGGCGAAGCGAAGUCAGUGCGCGCUUUUGCUUUGAAUGUGGGGUAGCUAGGAAACAGCAAGCAGCCUGCGAAGACGGAAUUCCCAACGUGUAAAACGGAGCCAUUGAGAGAGUGCAAUAAGGCGUGAGGGGGAACUAAUCUCCCCAUUUACAUGUUUGUGGCAAUUUUAUCUAAAUGAAUUUUAAUGCUAAACGAGGGAUAAUUCCCUAUUUGUAACCCGUUUACUUCUCUUUCCUGUGCCCCCAAAGCCGCCUAAGAUCGUGCGAUGAACAAUAACAAUAAAAAUACUGUCAAGCAUAUUCUUCAUUUGGAAUG
This is a long non-coding RNA of Caretta caretta (loggerhead turtle), 951 nucleotides long. RefSeq lists it as uncharacterized. The record is from RefSeq and is a predicted model, not a curated record. Lineage: Eukaryota; Metazoa; Chordata; Testudines; Cheloniidae.